AAGGGCUUAGGCUAACAAUCGAGACCAAGGGCCUUCAAAGCCCUAAGUGAGGGUGAGAACCCCUCAGCCCUUA
Salarias fasciatus (jewelled blenny) is the source of this 73-nucleotide non-coding RNA. NCBI's taxonomy places the organism in Eukaryota, Metazoa, Chordata, Actinopteri, Blenniiformes, Blenniidae. The record is from the annotation of a RefSeq genome assembly.